This 21-nucleotide non-coding RNA is filed under the name Caenorhabditis elegans. Lineage: Eukaryota; Metazoa; Nematoda; Chromadorea; Rhabditida; Rhabditidae. The record is from RNAcentral.
UUCUCUGAGAAUAAUUUGCUA